UACGUAGGGUGCAAGCGUUGUCCGGAAUUAUUGGGCGUAAAGAGCUCGUAGGCGGUCUGUCGCGUCGGCCGUGAAAAACUCGGGGCUCAACCCCCGAGCCUGCAGUCGAUACGGGCAGACUAGAGUGCUGUAGGGGAGACUGGAAUUCCUGGUGUAGCGGUGAAAUGCGCAGAUAUCAGGAGGAACACCAGUGGCGAAGGCGGCUCACUGGCCCCGUUACUGACGCUGAGGCACGAAAAGCGUGGGGGAGCAAACAGG
This 258-nucleotide ribosomal RNA is filed under the name uncultured bacterium. RNAcentral describes it as "partial 16S ribosomal RNA". It matches the Rfam family "Bacterial small subunit ribosomal RNA", at positions 524 to 776 of the family's 1533-position model. The record is from RNAcentral.